UUGGGCUUCUCCUUUUGAAACAUUGGUCUUUUUUCUUAGUUUUUCCCUAUCUUUAUCUCCAAUCUCCAAAUAAUUCUAAAAUCUGAAACCUGCAUUAUACUUUCUUCCAUAUUAUAAUCAAAGUUUGGGAGUUACAAUGUUUUUAAGGAGCAACAAUGACACAGAAUCACCUCCAAUUUCUGAUAAAAUCGAUGGCAGAUACAUCAUUUUUCAGUAUCAAAAUACAUCACGGAGGAGUUGUUAUGAAACGUACUCCAGAAAAGCAUUAUGUUGAGGGCAACAUAGACUAUAUUUGAUUAUGUUAAUGCAAACAAAUUGGACCUUGAUGAGUUUAAGAAGAUGGCAGAGAUUUAUGGAUACUUGAAGAAUUCAAUAACUUUUUGCUUAGAUUGGAAGCUCUGGUAAUAGAUGAAGGUUGGUGUCUACAGAUAAUGAAGCCCAUGCAGUUUGCAAAAAUGGCAGAGAUUUAUGGAUACUUGAAGAAUUCAAUAACUUUUUGCUUAGAUUGGAAGCUCUGGUAAUAGAUGGAGGUUGGUGUCUACAGAUAAUGAAGCCCAUGCAGUUUGCAAAAAUGUCUACAUGAUCGAAAUUUACUUUGAACACUUGGAUUCAUAUUUCAAUAUAGAAGAUAUGACUUCUAUCCAUAACUCAAGUGCUACAGAUAAUAACAAACAACAAGUUGUUCAGGAAAAUCCAUUGGCAAAUGAUUUUAGCGACUCGAAAGUUGAGUUAACUGAUGGUUUACUUGUUGAUAAACAUGAAAACACUGCACAAUACAUAGUGGAUGAAUGGGAGAUUCUCAGUGUCGAAGCACAGAGAAAGAUGACAGCUCCAGAAGGGGAGUCUGAUUGUGUUGAUUCUACGGACACAAAAAGUUUGCAUAGUGAUUCUGAAAAUGAGAUCUUGAACUUUCCUACAUUCAAUCCACAAACAGACGGAGACAACCUGAUUUUAGCUUUAGAAUGUGUUUUUGAAUGCAAGAAAGAUUUUAAAAGUGCAGUAGUUACUCACGAGAUUAAGAAUGAAAAGUAUAUCCAGUGGCUCAAAAAUGACAGAGAAAGAAUGAAAGUCGUUUGAAUACAUUCAGGGUGCAAAUGAAAAAUCACAGCAUGUAAAAUGCAAAGGAUACAACUUUCCAGAUUAGAAAGUACAUUCCUACAGAUAAUUGCAAGGAGUGGCAUUGUGAUAAUAGAAAAAUAACAUCAUCAUUCAUUGCAAGAAAAUACCUCACAUAAAUUAAAUCAAACGGAGCAUGGAGCUUAGUUGAUUUUAGAGAUAGAGUAAGUGUAGAUCUACGAGCUCAUGUAACUUUGUCUCAAGCCAAAAGAGCUAAGAUGUUAGCUAUUGCAUUGAUUGACGAUGAUAUCGAGGAUCAAUACAAAAUGAUGUGGGAUUAUUGUAUUGAAAUUGAUAGGACAAAUCCAGAUAGUACAAUUUAUAUGAAGUUCACUGAGAAUGAGAUACCAAACAAGCCAUACAGAUUUCAAAGAAUAUACAUCUGUUUUGCUGCUUGUAAGCUAGCUUUCAAGGUAGGAUGCAGAAAAAUAAUAGGCGUGGAUGGUUGUUGGUUGAAGGGUCCAAUGUAUUGGACUCAACUGUUAACUGUUGUUGGAAUUGAUGGUAAUAAUAAUAUAUUUCUCGUUGCCUAUGCAAUUGUCGAGAAAGAAAGUAAAGAGUCGUGGGUUUGAUUUUUGAACUAUUUGGCAGCUGAUUUAGAUGUAGAUGAGACUGGUUGGACCUUUAUGUCCGACAAACAAAAAGGUCUUAUUGGAGCUUUUAAUGAGGUUUUGCCAUAUGUCAGUCAUAGAUUUUGUGUGAGACAUCUACGUAACAAUUUUGAGAGAGCUGGCUUUGGCGGGUUCACAUUAAAAAAAGCAUUUUGGGAUGCUGAAAAGGCUACCACUGUAAAAGAAUCUGAUGUUUGCAUGUUACGUAUAAGAGAGUUAGAUCCAAAUGCUGCCGAUUGGCUCAAUGACAAAGAACCUAGCCAAUGGUCGAGGUCUCAUUUCUCUUCAGAUGCUAAGUGUGAUAUUUUAUUUAAUAACAUUUGUGAAAGUGUUUAAUAGCAUGAUCCUUGAUGCUAGAGACAAGCCUUUGUGACACUUUUGGAGGAAUUGUGAUAUCUUCUCAUGGCUAGAAUGUUAGAUAAUAGAGAGAAAGAGCAUAAAUGGAGUUCGAAUGAUGUUUGCCCAAAUAUUAAGGAUAUUUUGCACAAAAAUCAGACUGCAGGAGGUGAGUAUAUUCCUAGAAAAUCUUAUCAAUGGAAUUAUGAGAUUAUAGGAGCUACUAUUCAUGAUAGUUGGGCUGUUGAUUUGGAGAACAAAAUAUGUAGUUGUAGGAAAUGUAUCAUGGGAAUUCCUUGCAAGCAUGCUAUUGCAGCAAUUCGAGCGAAGAAGGAUAACAUUCUUGACUAUGUGGUGAUUGUUACAAAGUCGAAACAUAUAGAAAAAAUCUAUGAACAUGCAAUUCUUCCGAUAAAUGGGCCACAAAUGUGGGCUAAAUCAAGUAGAGUUCCUCCCUUGCCUCCAUCAAUCGUAGGAAAGAAAAAGAGAGGAAGAAAACAAAAGGUGAGAAGAAAGGAAGCCGAUGAAGUUGGAGCAAGUCGAAUAAAGAUGAAACGAAAGCAACAAUCUCUAGAUUGCAGUACAUGCAACAAGCCUGGUCAUAACAAAAAAACUUGCAAAUAUAAUGUUGUGUCACAAGAGACUACUUCAGUUCGUCCAAAAUUACCUAGGACAUGAAGAAGCGGGACAAGAAAAAGCUAGACAGGAAGGAGCUGGACAAGUAAAAACAGUUGGACAAGAAGAAAUAUGUAGAUUUUGGUUGGAUAUGCUCUACUAACACAAAGCUAGAAUGAAUCACUGGUGUUGAUAUCUCCUUUCUGGUGCUACUAUAUUGCAUUCUCAGGUGGUGUUCCUCUGUUUCAUUUUCAAGAGUUGUUGUUCUCAAAUGUUGUAUUGUUCUAAAUCCGUAGGUGUUGCGGUGUUGCCAAUAUACUGUACUUUUGGAGUUAUUUUUAUGCAUUUUCAAGUGUUUUGAACUUUAAAAUGAUGUUAUAGUUCUGCUUUUUUCUGGUGUUGCUA
Solanum lycopersicum (tomato) is the source of this 3083-nucleotide long non-coding RNA. RefSeq lists it as uncharacterized. Lineage: Eukaryota; Viridiplantae; Streptophyta; Magnoliopsida; Solanales; Solanaceae. The record is from RefSeq and is a predicted model, not a curated record.